RNAcentral lists this ribosomal RNA (1346 nucleotides) under uncultured bacterium. RNAcentral's name for it is "bacterial SSU rRNA". It matches the Rfam family "Bacterial small subunit ribosomal RNA", at positions 28 to 1381 of the family's 1533-position model. The record is from RNAcentral.
GACGAACGCUGGCGGCGUGCUUAACACAUGCAAGUCGAACGGAAAGGCCCUGCUUUUGUGGGGUGCUCGAGUGGCGAACGGGUGAGUAACACGUGAGUAACCUGCCCUUGACUUUGGGAUAACUUCAGGAAACUGGGGCUAAUACCGGAUAGGAGCUCCUGCUGCAUGGUGGGGGUUGGAAAGUUUCGGCGGUUGGGGAUGGACUCGCGGCUUAUCAGCUUGUUGGUGGGGUAGUGGCUUACCAAGGCUUUGACGGGUAGCCGGCCUGAGAGGGUGACCGGCCACAUUGGGACUGAGAUACGGCCCAGACUCCUACGGGAGGCAGCAGUGGGGAAUAUUGCACAAUGGGCGGAAGCCUGAUGCAGCAACGCCGCGUGCGGGAUGACGGCCUUCGGGUUGUAAACCGCUUUCGCCUGUGACGAAGCGUGAGUGACGGUAAUGGGUAAAGAAGCACCGGCUAACUACGUGCCAGCAGCCGCGGUGAUACGUAGGGUGCGAGCGUUGUCCGGAUUUAUUGGGCGUAAAGGGCUCGUAGGUGGUUGAUCGCGUCGGAAGUGUAAUCUUGGGGCUUAACCCUGAGCGUGCUUUCGAUACGGGUUGACUUGAGGAAGGUAGGGGAGAAUGGAAUUCCUGGUGGAGCGGUGGAAUGCGCAGAUAUCAGGAGGAACACCAGUGGCGAAGGCGGUUCUCUGGGCCUUUCCUGACGCUGAGGAGCGAAAGCGUGGGGAGCGAACAGGCUUAGAUACCCUGGUAGUCCACGCUGUAAACGGUGGGUACUAGGUGUGGGGUCCAUUCCACGGGUUCCGUGCCGUAGCUAACGCUUUAAGUACCCCGCCUGGGGAGUACGGCCGCAAGGCUAAAACUCAAAGGAAUUGACGGGGCCCCGCACAAGCGGCGGAGCAUGCGGAUUAAUUCGAUGCAACGCGUAGAACCUUACCUGGGUUUGACAUGGAUCGGGAGUGCUCAGAGAUGGGUGUGCCUCUUUUGGGGUCGGUUCACAGGUGGUGCAUGGCUGUCGUCAGCUCGUGUCGUGAGAUGUUGGGUUAAGUCCCGCAACGAGCGCAACCCUUGUCUUAUGUUGCCAGCACGUUAUGGUGGGGACUCAUGAGAGACUGCCGGGGUUAACUCGGAGGAAGGUGGGGACGGCGUCAAGUCAUCAUGCCCCUCAUGUCCAGGGCUUCACACAUGCUACAAUGGCCGGUACAAUGCGCAGCGAGCCUGUGAGGGUGAGCUAAUCGCUUAAAGCUGGUCUUAGUUCGGAUUGGGGUCUGCAACUCGACCCCAUGAAGUCGGAGUCGCUAGUAAUCGCAGAUCAGCAAUGCUGCGGUGAAUACGUUCCCGGGCCU